RNAcentral lists this unclassified non-coding RNA (231 nucleotides) under Hevea brasiliensis (rubber tree). The record is from RNAcentral. Lineage: Eukaryota; Viridiplantae; Streptophyta; Magnoliopsida; Malpighiales; Euphorbiaceae.
AGCUGACAUCUGGUUGCACAGAGUUCAUUGGAUCUGCUGAACAGAUUUUAGAGGAGAGGAAGAUGAACCAAAAAUUGCUAGCAAACCAUAGCACAUUGCUGGAUUUGCUUGAAAUUAACUUAUGGACACGUGUGUAAGGAAUGGAAAUUAUGAUGAAGCUCUCGACUUGGAAGCAUUUGUUUGCAAACUCUCAACCAUGCACCCCAAUUUACCUGUCAUUCAGGCAUUAGC